RNAcentral lists this ribosomal RNA (244 nucleotides) under uncultured bacterium. RNAcentral's name for it is "partial 16S ribosomal RNA". It matches the Rfam family "Bacterial small subunit ribosomal RNA", at positions 524 to 770 of the family's 1533-position model. The record is from RNAcentral.
UACGAGGGGGCGAGCGUUGUUCGGAAUUAUUGGGCGUAAAGGGUGCGUAGGCGGCCUGACAAGUCUGAUGUGAAAUCCCUGGGCUCAACCCAGGCCUGCAUCGGAAACUGUCGGCUUGAGUAUGGGAGAGGUGAGUGGAAUUUCCGGUGUAGCGGUGAAAUGCGUAGAUAUCGGAAAGGAACACCUGUGGCGAAAGCGGCUCACUGGACCAUUACUGACGCUGAGGCACGAAAGCUAGGGAGCA